Molecule: ribosomal RNA, 253 nt
Filed under: bacterium
Lineage: Bacteria
Also listed under: 4 other names
Description: partial 16S ribosomal RNA
Rfam family: Bacterial small subunit ribosomal RNA
Source: RNAcentral
UACGUAGGGCGCAAGCGUUAUCCGGAAUUAUUGGGCGUAAAGAGCUCGUAGGCGGUUUGUCGCGUCUGCUGUGAAAGACCGGGGCUCAACUCCGGUUCUGCAGUGGGUACGGGCAGACUAGAGUGCAGUAGGGGAGACUGGAAUUCCUGGUGUAGCGGUGAAAUGCGCAGAUAUCAGGAGGAACACCGAUGGCGAAGGCAGGUCUCUGGGCUGUAACUGACGCUGAGGAGCGAAAGCAUGGGGAGCGAACAGG